Molecule: long non-coding RNA, 612 nt
Filed under: Homo sapiens (human)
Lineage: Eukaryota; Metazoa; Chordata; Mammalia; Primates; Hominidae
Description: HSALNT0318525
Source: RNAcentral
AAAAGAAGGGAGCAGUUCAGCUACUUGAAGAAACCAAAUGGUAUGUUGAGGCAAAUUAAAACCAGAGAGUCAGUUGGAGAAGCCCGAAGAGUAACCCAGGUGUCGAAAUACAGACACAUCAGGAGAAAACAAUGCCAGCCUCCUGCCAGGGAUCUAUCUUAACUAAGCAUCCAAUUAUCUUUUGGCUGCAAGACUACGUUCUGAUUCCCUAUACUUCAAACUUGGUUUCUUCUUCACCCUGGAUACUUGCAGAGCCGGGCACCACUCAUGUGAUAAUGCCAGGCUGGAUUCUCUAGAAGCAGAUGCUGGGAGGCUAUUUGGGGUACAAGGUGUUCCUUAGGAAUCAACAGCUGUGUUGGGAAGGAGAGGACACAGGAUCGCACAAAGGAAGACAUCAACAGUGCUGUAGAGAGCCCUCCAGAGGGUAGCAUUUGUCAGAGUGUUCUCCAUUGGGCUGAAACACCUGGGCAUUCAUGUUCUUCUCACUCAAUCACCAGUUUCAGCUCUCAAAAAGAAACAAAGUUUGAUGGUGAACAAAAUGCAAAGAUCAGGAGGACCCAGAGCCCAGAAAGGAAUAUAGAGGGGGAAUCCCUGGGAAGAGAAGAGGGCACG